CUCCACAGGUCCUUUUGUCCAGGAGAAAGCAGGAAUCAGUGGAGAUGCUUCACAGCAGUAUCCUGGAAGGACUGAGCUGAGACAGGGAAUGCUGGGGUCAGUGGGGACUGGAGACAAGGUGAUUCCCAAGGUGAUUCCCAGCACAACUUGGCAUUGGUUUUUUCUACCCUGCUGAGAACUUUUACAUCCCUUAUAACUGAAUACCCCUUGUAAAUGUAUACCCCUUUUAAGUGUAUAUCACUAGUAAAUGUAUAUCACUUG
This 261-nucleotide long non-coding RNA is filed under the name Cyanistes caeruleus (blue tit). RNAcentral's name for it is "lncRNA (ENSCCEG00000004047.1)". The record is from RNAcentral. Lineage: Eukaryota; Metazoa; Chordata; Aves; Passeriformes; Paridae.